ACACGACUACAUUAGAUACCCCCUGUAGUCCCAGCCCUAAACGAUGCGCGUUAGGUGUAUCGGUGACCACGAGUCACCGAGGUGCCGAAGGGAAACCGUGAAACGUGCCGCCUGGGAAGUACGGUCGCAAGGCUGAAACUUAAAGGAAUUGGCGGGGGAGCACCACAACGGGUGGAACCUGCGGUUUAAUUGGACUCAACGCCGGGAAGCUCACCGGAUAAGACAGCGGAAUGAUUGCCGGGCUGAAGACCCUGCAUGACCAGCUG
This 266-nucleotide ribosomal RNA is filed under the name uncultured archaeon. Its description in RNAcentral is "partial 16S ribosomal RNA". It matches the Rfam family "Archaeal small subunit ribosomal RNA", at positions 717 to 982 of the family's 1478-position model. The record is from RNAcentral.